This 567-nucleotide long non-coding RNA is filed under the name Zonotrichia albicollis (white-throated sparrow). RNAcentral describes it as "lncRNA (ENSZALG00000007965.1)". The record is from RNAcentral. Lineage: Eukaryota; Metazoa; Chordata; Aves; Passeriformes; Passerellidae.
CUGAAGUUUGCUGAUAAGUGGCAAUGGUCAUAAAGGAACUGUUCUCUAUAGCUGAUUAAUACAUACUAUACCACCUGGCAAGUCCAGAUGGUUUUAUGCAAUCAUCUGUAUACUCUAUGAAAUUUAUGGUCUUGAAGGAAUUCAGAGCAGCACCCUGAUAAGAGGAAAGGGAAUGAACCAGGUACAUUAGAUACCAGACACAGACCACUGCUUAGAUCUGGUAAAACCUGGGGUAUUUUUGGAACAGAUUGCAGAUUUCAUUGGUAAGACCAAAAUGCAGAAGAGAUCCUGGCAGAACUUACAUCUGCAAGAGGAAUUAUGCUGCAACUUGCUGGGUCCAGUCAUUUUCCUCAGCAACUGCCAGGCACCUAUCAGCAAGUGCAAGACCCUCCAGAACUGAAAUUCAGAUUAAAAACAUACAGCUGCCAAAACAGGGAGCUACAUACAGAAGAGUUGUUUGUGAGCAGAACUUUCUUCAUUCAACUGUCUGAAGAACACCUCAUCAAUGAGUGGACUGUACUGCCUAGGAUUCUUCCAAGUAUAUCUGUAGCAUGCAAAAUGAGAUGA